UCAAUCGCGGGCGUUGCUUGGACCUUUACUGUACUUGCCAUGGGAUUUGCCUGCAAAGAAAUCGAGCUCGAACUCAGGAAUGCUCGUUUGAGAACAAUGGAGGCAUUUUUAAUCAUACUUACAGUAACACAACUUGUCUACAUAGCAGCAAUUCAUGGCGGUGCAUAAAUGAUUGAUGCGUCUUCUUCUUUCAUCACUAAGAAAAAUGAUUCUUG
This is a long non-coding RNA of Hibiscus syriacus, 215 nucleotides long. RefSeq lists it as uncharacterized. The transcript is spliced from 3 exons. NCBI's taxonomy places the organism in Eukaryota, Viridiplantae, Streptophyta, Magnoliopsida, Malvales, Malvaceae. The record is from RefSeq and is a predicted model, not a curated record.